GGAUGUGAGGGUGAUCUGGCUGUGACAUCUGUCACCCCAUUGAUCACCAGGGUUGAUUUGGCUGAUUCGGCUGCCUAGGCGGGUGUCUCCUUUCUCCCUCACCGGUCCAUGUGCUUCCCUCCAGAAGCUGUGCUUGGGGUGGAAGAGGAUGACCUUCCCAGAUAGAGGAGGACCAUUCUUCAGUCAAGGGUAUAGGAGUAGCUGCGCUCCUCUGCUAGGAGAUCAAACAAGCUCUCAAGGUCCAUUUGUAGGAGAAAGUAGCGUCAUCAAGCUUCCAAAACUCCAGACACAUCCAAACGAGGCACUGCAUGUGGCAGUCUGCCUUUCUAA
RNAcentral lists this small nuclear RNA (330 nucleotides) under Ursus americanus (American black bear). RNAcentral describes it as "7SK RNA (ENSUAMG00000018752.1)". It matches the Rfam family "7SK RNA". Rfam says of the family: 7SK was discovered as an abundant small nuclear RNA in the mid-70s but a possible function has only recently been suggested. Two independent studies have found that 7SK RNA binds the CDK9/cyclin T complex (known as elongation factor P-TEFb). The record is from Rfam by way of RNAcentral. Lineage: Eukaryota; Metazoa; Chordata; Mammalia; Carnivora; Ursidae.